GUUUUUCGUUUUUGGAUUCCUUUUCGGCUUGGAGUAUAGAUUAUUGUCGAUAAUAUCGACAUCAAGAAAGUAAUGAGUCGAUUUAACUUUCCUUGAGAUUGGGCAUCAAGAUUAGGUUGGGAAAUUAGGGUUCUUGAUCUAAUAAGAGGGAAAUUAAUUCCUUUGAGGGGAAGGAAUUUUUCUCGGCCAUUGGUUAAUCCAAACAAAGUAGAGAAUUAGUUGGUGGAGGACAAAUUGGAAUGUGUGAGGAAUUUGGAGACCUUCUGAAGAGGAUACCACUUGAUUUACUGCAAGGAAACAAAUUUCGUAAAGCGGCAAUUGAUUGCAUUAAGCCUCUUCUAGCCUUUAUAUCCAUAGUCGGAUACUGAAACAUGUUGGUGAUUUGGUAGCUGUGGCUUCAUUGACAGAUGAAGCUAGGUGUAUGGAUCUUGCAGAUCGCUAUAUAAACAGUGAAUCUGUGAAGCGAAUGUUGCAGUCUGAUCAGGUGGUUUUGGCAGGAAAAACUGCUGUUUUGUUCACGAAAGAUGGGGGCCAGCACAACAACCUUCAUGACAUGCAGUGCAUGUGGUAUGAACUUGCUUCUGAUGAAAGUUACUUUCGACAUGGUGAUUUUGGACGGGCCCUGGAGAAAUUUAUAGCUGUGGAGAAGCACUAUGCUGAUAUUACUGAAGAUCAAUUUGAUUUCCAUUCUUAUUGUUUGAGGAAAAUGACACCACGUGCAUAUGUUGGAAAGCUAAAAUUUAAAGAUUGGUUGCAUUCACAUGCUUAUUUUCACAAAGUAGCAGCUGGAGCCAUUAGGUGAACAUUUUUGUUAGGAUCUGCAGCCUUUUCAAUGAUUUGCAAUAGACUUAUUCUGUUUGGUUGUGGCCUGUAUGUGUAAAAUGCUAUGCAAGCUCUGUUGUCUACUUGUCUGGGUGCUUUUAGCGUCUAUCACCUAUUGUUGAUCAACAUAUGCAUGUGAUGCUUCAUUUUGGGUUAGAUUCCUCUUUGCCUCCCUUUUUUUCCCUUUGUCUUUUGGGGAAUGGGGGAUUAUUGCAUGCAUAUAUGUUGCAUUAAUCAUAUGUUGCAAUGAUGUGUUGUCUGGACCUUGCUUUCAAAGCAUGAAAAACUUCCUAAAGGUAACUGUUGUUCAUAACUUACCCUUGUACAACUAUUCAUUUGUUAAUAAUUAGACACUCCCAUUAUGAUAUCCAAUCUAAUUGAAGUCUCUUCUAGUAGCCCCUCUUUUAAUUGGAGAGGGGAUAUCAUAUCAAGAUUUCUGAUUCCCCUCCCCUACUCUAAUUUUUCCUUGAAUCCUAGACGUAAGGAUUUACAACAUAUUUGAAGACAAAACCUUGCUAAGUUUAUAAUCAAGAAAGUAUCAAGAGUCCUUUUCUUGCACUUGUUUUUGCUAGAGAAAAUUUUUUGAGUCAUAUGAGCAAAGCAGAAUAUAGGGUUCCAAGUUUUUUGUUGAUCAAGCAACAACCUGAUUUGAACUGGGGAAUAAGGGAUUUGCAAUCCCCCGGCUUACUGGUUAGCCAUGUCACCAAAGGUUAGAAACCAAAAAGAAUGAGUGUAUCCCCUUUAUAACUUUAGUUAUAGAUCGGAUCCAUACCUUCAAUUAGUUAUAGUAUCUCAAGUAAAAAAAUUAGUAUUGUUUUUUUUUUUCUUUCAAUAAAAAAAAUUCUUAAUUUGAUUUAUAUUAUAAUGUAAUAAUAUAACAACAAUUAUGAGUCUAGGUAAACCCCAUAAUGAAAGUUAUUGCACGGCAACAAAAAGUUCAACCCAACAAUGAAAAGCAGCUUGAGGAGCUGACCUCAACCUCUGGACCUUGUGAUCCUUUAUGUUGAGUUGAUGAAGCUAGCUCGUUAGAUUUUGAAGUUACUUACCAGUCAAAGACUAAUUUGUUGAAAACUAUUGGUGUUUUCACAGCAGCUUUAACAGGGGCUGUGGCAAUUAACCUAUCGUGGGUUACCAACAUCUAGGUUUAUCUUUAAUUUCUUGUGCAAUCCUUUCUUUGUAGGUUGUAAUCAUUUUUUCAUCUUUGGCCAAUAUUUUGUGUAUUCUUGUAUUAUGCCCAGAAGCCUUUCUUAAGUUGAUCUAAUUUCAUAAUGCAUAUUUCUAUGGCAUUGCUUUUUGUAAUAGGAUAUGCAGGCAUUAUCUUUGAAGAAUUUCUAGCCUUCAAUAAAAGUGGAAUAGAUUGUUGAUGGCUGUGAGUUUAUGGGUGGUAAGGAGCAUAGGGGUAAGAGUGAUUCUCAGAUGUUUAGGAUUGGACUAUGUUUUUCUGCUGUCCCUCUUCUUGUAGUUUGCAUCAUAUUUAUCAUUCUCAUAAAUUGGGAUGAAAACACAAAAUUCUGUUGCGUAUUGGUUGCUUUAUUCAGUACUAUGUCAGGUUUCAACCUGUUUCUCUCAUGUUCAUUGGUGGUGGCCUCAUGACCUGGUAUUCAUUCAAGAGUUAAUGAAAUACAGGAUGCUUGGGCUCUAAUCUUAUUUCCUGAUCUACUAGUUUUAUUGGUCUAUGUUUUUUGGUGAGCAAUGGCUUGUCUUUUUAUGAAGUGAUCAUUGCAAUUUAAUAUCCUUUAUUUUUAAUUUAUGUUGGAGCCCACUUCCCAUUUAAAGGAAGGAGCAUCUCCAAUUUAAACCAAUUCCAAGGAACUACCUUAGCAAUGAAUUAAGAUAGCAAAACUAGGUACCUACCCCCAUGGUCAAUUGGGAGAGCCAAAGUUUGUGUUUGUGUGUGGCUUGUUACCAUCACUAGGAAUUCUGCAAAUGGUUACUAUGACUAUCUCCCUUUAUUAAUGGAAUUCUAUGGCUACUUAUGCUGAUGCAUCUGACUUCUGUAUGGAAAACUUUUUUUUUUAUCAUUUUCUUAUUUAUUUUCGCUUUUAUCUGUUAAUACUUGUGUAAUAAUGCUUGGGCCAUUCACAU
Durio zibethinus is the source of this 2907-nucleotide non-coding RNA. The record is from RefSeq and is a predicted model, not a curated record. NCBI's taxonomy places the organism in Eukaryota, Viridiplantae, Streptophyta, Magnoliopsida, Malvales, Malvaceae.